UGAAUUGACGGGGGCCCGCACAAGCGGUGGAGCAUGUGGUUUAAUUCGAUGCAACGCGAAGAACCUUACCUGGUCUUGACAUCCACAGAACUUUCCAGAGAUGGAUUGGUGCCUUCGGGAACUGUGAGACAGGUGCUGCAUGGCUGUCGUCAGCUCGUGUUGUGAAAUGUUGGGUUAAGUCCCGCAACGAGCGCAACCCUUAUCCUUUGUUGCCAGCGGUUAGGCCGGGAACUCAAAGGAGACUGCCAGUGAUAAACUGGAGGAAGGUGGGGAUGACGUCAAGUCAUCAUGGCCCUUACGACCAGGGCUACACACGUGCUACAAUGGCGCAUACAAAGAGAAGCGACCUCGCGAGAGCAAGCGGACCUCAUAAAGUGCGUCGUAGUCCGGAUUGGAGUCUGCAACUCGACUCCAUGAAGUCGGAAUCGCUAUAAUCGUAGAUCAGAUGUACGGAANU
RNAcentral lists this ribosomal RNA (457 nucleotides) under Enterobacter cloacae subsp. cloacae. Its description in RNAcentral is "bacterial SSU rRNA". It matches the Rfam family "Bacterial small subunit ribosomal RNA", at positions 907 to 1367 of the family's 1533-position model. Lineage: Bacteria; Pseudomonadati; Pseudomonadota; Gammaproteobacteria; Enterobacterales; Enterobacteriaceae. The record is from RNAcentral.